GACGAACGCUGGCGGCGUGCUUAACACAUGCAAGUCGAACGGAAAGGCCCUGCUUUUGUGGGGUGCUCGAGUGGCGAACGGGUGAGUAACACGUGAGUAACCUGCCCUUGACUUUGUGAUAACUUCAGGAAACUGGGGCGAAUACCGGAUAGGAGCUACUGCUGCACGGUGGGGGUUGGAAAGUGUCGGCGGUGGGGGAUGGUCUCGGUGCGUAUGAGCCAGAUGGUGAGGUAGGGGCUUACCAAGGCUUUGAUGGGUAGCCGGCCUGAGAGGGUUAGCGGCCAGACUGGAACUGAGACACGGUCCAGACUCGUACGGGAGGCAGCAGUAGGGAAUCUGCCGCAAUGGGCGAAAGCCUGAAGGAGCAACGCAGCGUGGGUGAUGAAGGUCUUCGGAUCUUAAAACUCUGUUAUUAGGGAAGAACAAAGGGGUAAGUAACUAUGCACGUCUGGACGGGACCUAACCAGAAAGCCACGGCUAACUACGUG
RNAcentral lists this ribosomal RNA (488 nucleotides) under uncultured bacterium. RNAcentral describes it as "partial 16S ribosomal RNA". It matches the Rfam family "Bacterial small subunit ribosomal RNA", at positions 28 to 507 of the family's 1533-position model. The record is from RNAcentral.